Molecule: long non-coding RNA, 14552 nt
Filed under: Nicotiana benthamiana
Lineage: Eukaryota; Viridiplantae; Streptophyta; Magnoliopsida; Solanales; Solanaceae
Description: long non-coding RNA (NBEN_LNC015921)
Source: RNAcentral
UUCUUUGAUUCCUUUCAUAAAUAGAGAUGGAUUGAGUUUGCCCGAGUUUUCUUUUUUGUCCUGUUUGUUUUAUAAUUUCACUGGAGAUCAGUUUUGAUUAGCAUUUCGAUGCACUAGAGUUUUCUUUGAUUUCAGUUCUGGUUUUCGGACGAACAAUGGCACUCGUAGAGAAAUUUGAGUCUGCUGUUGUCUGAGCUUCUGAUUUCAACCCAUUAGCUUCCAGGUCUCGUUUAUAUUCCAAGCUCGUACAAAGUUAAACGGGUUGUUUAUUGAUUCAGGUUUGCUUUUAAUCCCAUGUAGCCUAUCUUUGGCAUUUUGAUUAUGAAAUGUGACUGUUUGGUCGUAAUGUGUUGGUUUUCCAUUUGCACGAGUAUGUCUGGUUUGACUCGGUUGUGUAUAUGUCAUUGAUUUCUGAUUGUGCUGUGUAUUUAGAACUAUUGCGAUCGUCUGUUAAAUUCUGUUACAUUCUGGUCGAACCGUCUUCAUGACUAGUUGAGUUCUUCAGAAGUUUCCUUUUGGUUAAGUUAGAAUUAAAAAAAAUUAAUAUGAGUAAUUAUUUGCUGCUGUAGUUUGAAUUGUGAGUGAGGGAUGAAACUAUCUUUGAGAUGCUGAGAAAUUGAAAGCCUCUUGUGGUUUGAAUCUGAAAUAUUGGAAACCUUGUUCUGGCUUCUUCCUUUUAGUGUGGAUUUUGUUGAUAUUUGCUAGCAAUUUAGCUAAGUAUCAGUUCUGAUUCGUGUUGGCUUCGCGCUAGAUUUAUUUGUUUCUUGAUGAUUCUAGUUUGAAACUAAUUAAUCCGCUGCUUGAACUAUUUGAGUUCCAUCCUGAUUUGUCUUAGCCUCAUUUUGGUUCAUCUUAGUUGAUACAUUGUUUAAUGAAGUAAGUUGUAAACCUUUGUGACACUAUAUCACUUAACAACUGAAACUGUUGGUUUUCAUUUAAAUAGCUGAAUCUAUUCGGAGCUGUCAUCUCUAAUUUUCCUUGGUUUUCGAACGAGAAGUUUGCUAGACGUGUUAUUGCUUGGUAAUAGGAUUACUGUUGAUCAUACAUCUUUGUUGCAUAUUGAGUUGAAUACCAGUUAGGAUGUUCUUGCUUUAUUUAUUGUUAAAAACAAUGAAAAGCAGUACUGUAGCUGCAUGCUUGUUUUAGUCGACUGUAUUUCAAAUCUUAUUUCAGUUUUUUCAUGGUUAUUAUGUUUGAUGUGGUGCAUCAGUCAAGCCAGUGCAUAUGUUGAAGAGUCGUGUCUAAUGUGAAUCUGAGUUAGCCGGAGUUUACUCCACGGAAAACCUGCCCUAUUUUGCACUGUUGCAUAUGUUGAAGAGUUGUGUCUAAUGUGAAUCUGAGUUAGCUGGGGUUUACUCCAUGGAAAACCUGCCCCGUUUUGCACUAUUCGAGUGUUAAUUUCGAGGGCUAAUUCUGUGAGGCUUGGAUUGUUUUGAGCCAUGGGGUGUAAUGUGUCGUCAUUAAUUCACUAUUUCAGCAUAGCUAGGCCUACCAGUUCUUCUUCACCUCUCUUUAGGCCAUUUUUUUAACUUCAAUUAGUAAUACAUCCAUGCUCAACUGGAUGUGUGUCGAUAUUUGAAGUGUUUGUGUGUCUUGUUCUUAUUGUACUAUUGAGGUGAGGUCGUCAACUGGAUUUUCUCUAAAGGUGUCUCAAAAAUGAUAUCUUAGCUUGGUGAACUAGUUUUCACAACAAAAAAAAAAAAAACAAAAAAAGAGAAUUCUAUGAGAUCCAGAAGCUUAUUUUAGUGUGUGUUCUUCCAUCUCAAUGAUUUCUGGAUUUUCGCUUGCUUCUGGGGUUAAGCUGGAGCUGUGUUACUGAUUUUGCAUUGCGAACUCCUCUCAUCUUGACAUUCUCCCCUACUUGGCUGGUGAUUCUUCUAUUUUUGGAUUGCAAACUAGGUACAAAUUAAGUCCAUUAUAUAUGUGUUGGUUUUUUUGUGCGACUGUUGGAUUGAAUUAACCUCGAAAUAUGAUUAAUGAGUUUGUUUAAAUAUGAUUCUUAAUUUCGUCAACUUAGUUUAGGAUGUGAUCAUUUUGUUGCCUUGUGUUAGUAGAUAAUUAAGACAAAAUUUUCAGUUGGGCAUUUGCCCAUUUUUGUGCUAGCACUAGGAGCUGUAAGUCUUAUUCUAAGUAUGCCUUUGUUUGAUUUGUUAUUUUUUAUCUCCUCUUUCUUUUAGGCGUUUUUUUCCUUUUCUGAAUGCCAUAUAUCUCAUUGUGUGCAUGUCUUAUAUUGAUGGAUAUAGGUCGUGGUUUGAGUUUAAAGGUUGAAUAAAUUCCUGAAUAUCCGUAGUUUAUUUUAAUUGAGCAAAGCCCUUUUGGAAUAAUUGGAGAUGCACCAUGCCAAACAUAAAAUAUUUUAAUUGUGUGGCCCUCAUUUUAAUUUUGUAUUGAUCCUUAGAAUUUGAGACGUGCCAUUUAGCAAAUUUCAUGGCCCUCGCAAAGUACAAAAUGCGUUAUAAUCUUUAGGCGCGUUUUAAUUAAAUUACUUUCCUAAAUUCGGGUGUGCAUUGAUGCGACCCAAAUCCAAAUCUCGAAGAAGUCGAAAUGUGUUGACGACCACGGGUUCCUUGAUGGCGACGGGGUCAGAGACGCGUUUUCACGACGUCGCAAUUCUUAUAAAACAAAUGACGGUCGAAAAAGGGUUCAAUAAAUUGUGACGAGCCUCACCGAACUAAAUAAAUGUGAGGUCCUCAACAAUUGUUUAUUCAAACAAUUAGAAUUUGGAAGGACCGUUUAGUGAAUUUCCACGGCCUUUCCCAAACAAUAUUACGUUAGAACCUUUAAGCGCGAUUUAAUUAAACUACGUCCUUAAACUCGGGUGCGCAUUGAUGCGACCCAAAUCCAAAUCUCGACGAAGUCGAAGUGUGUUGACGAACACGGGUGCCUUGAUGGCGACGUGGUCAGAAACCCAUUUUCACGACAUCGAAAGUCUUUUAAAAUAAAUAAUGGUUAAAGCGGUUUAUAAAUAAAAGCACAUAAACUAGCAUGUAAUAAACUAGCAUGUAAUAAAAUCAGAUAAAAUCAAAUACAACAGUUAAGCGAUCGUGCUAGAACCACGGAACCCGGGAAUGCCUAACACCUUCUCUCGGGUUAAUAGAAUUCCUUAUCCGGAUUUUGAUUCGCGGACUGUGAAUAGAGUCAAUUUUUUCCUCGGUUCGGGAUUCAAUUGGUGACUUGGGACACCAUUAAUCUCCCAAGUGGCGACUUCACAAUACACUCCCGCAAACAAGCGUAAAGGAGUUUUUCCACUUAAAGGACAAUCAGAACGGGAUUUAGUUUAUUAUUUACACCAUUAAUCUCCCAAGUGGCGACUCUGAAUAAAUAAUAAACUAAAUCCCGUUCUGAUUGUCCUUUAAGUGGAAAAACUCCUUUACGCUUGUUUGCGGGAGUGUAUUGUGAAAAAGGACGUGUGACAGCUCUGGCGACUCUGCUGGCGAAGAGAACCCAGAACGUUUUGUUCAGGGUUCAGAAUUCGAACUUAGAUAAAUUAUUGUAUUUGACUAUAUCUGAUUUUCCUACAUGUUUCAUGCUGAAUGCGCUAAAUGUUACUGCUUUGAUAUUAUCUUAACUGUAUAUAAAUUGUGCCGACACCCUUCUCUCUUUACCUCCGGGGAUGUGCUUACUGGUUAAGACUCCCUAUUCUGUUAGUGUCAUACCCUGAAAUAAGAAAGAGGCUCGGACGAGUUAUGAUGCCGGAUGGCCUUUUGGUUCCCGGUAAGUUGCCCCCUCCUCGACUCGAGUUGUCCGCUCGGGGUACACAGUCUAGAACACCGACCCAGGUUUUGAACAUAGAAUAACUUGACUUCAUAUCGGAUUCCUAGUAGGAACGCUUAUUUGCAUCACGUUGCAUUUGCCUUAGGGGACUCAACACAGGGGUUGGGUCCGUCUAGGAUUAGAAACCUGAAAUGAAAAAGAUCAUCCUAGUGCAUCCUACUUGUUCUGCGCAUUUAUAUGUUCAAACCUGCAUGUUGACCGGUUUUGAACCUUGAAAUGUCGGAAUUUGAGAAAAGACAAAAAAAAGGAGAGAAAAUGAGAGAUAGCAGUUAGGGAGUUACUGUAGGAUAAAAUCCGAUGCCCAAGUACUGCUGUAACUCUGCCAAAAUAUUGAGAAAAUGAUAAAAAAGGUUUUAUUUUAUUAGUUUGUUUUACUAAAAAGCGAAGGAAAAAUAAAAAAAUAGUCCUUAUUCUGUCUUGUUUUCAAAAAUAGAAAAGGAAAAAUAGUCUGUUUUCCCGGAAAAAAUGAAAAGAAAAGAUGCUUUAUUUUGGGUUUUCUUGUUUUCAAAAUAGUUUAUUUACCAACGGAAAAGAAAAUAGGUUGUUCUAUUGAAAAAUAAAAAGAAAAAGAGUCUUUAUUUUUAGCUUGAAAAAAUAGGUUGAUUUAUUAUUUGUAGAAAAAGAAAAAGAGUCUUUAUUUUUAGCUUGAAAAAAUAGGUUGAUUUAUUAUUUGUAGAAAAAGAAAAAGAGUCUUUGUUUUUAGCUUGGGAAAAAUAGGUUUUAUUGUUGAAAAGGAUAAGGAAAAAAAAAGUCAUUGUUUGGUCUUGUUUUCAAAAAAUAGAAAACGAAAAUAGUUUGUCUUGCCAUGAAAAAUAAAAAUGAAAAAGAGUCUUGUUUUUAAAAUAGUUGUUUAUUUGUUUAUGAAAUGCCAAAAAUGAAAAUGAAAAUAGUCGUGCUUUGAAAGUGGUUUUGUUAUUUGCUGCCAAAAAUGAAAAUAAAAAAGAGUCCUAUUUAAAAUUGUUCGGUUAAUUUGCCCGAACUACUCAUGGUUUGAUUCUCACAGGGCGUGAGAUACGUAGGCAACCCUCAUCGAGUCCAACCUACCCUUUACAAAAAAAAAUCAAAAAUUUCAAAAAAAAAAUUUGCAUCAUGAAUAAAUCGGGUGACGCCGUUUUGCAAAAAUAGCCAAAUGUUCCCAAAGGGAACGCCGAAAGGCUGACCUUGCAUACAUAGCCACAUUUGGUCAGGUUUUAAUUUUUGACCUUCACAGCCUUAAAAUCUUCGCCCCCGAGGCGCCAAAAGGCUGUGUUUGCAAUAUCUGGUCAUUCAUUUUAAUUUAAAAAAAAAAGAAAAGAACUAAAAAUAAGUCGGGUGACGCCGUUUUUGCAAAAAUAGCCGAAUGUUCCCAAGCGGGACGCCGACUUUGCAUAAACAGCCACCCUUGGUCAUGUUUUGGUUUUUGACCCUCACAGCCUUAAAUUUUCGUCCCCGAGGCGUUGAAAGGUCGUGUUUGCCAUACCGGGUCUUUUAUUUUAAUUUGAGAAGCAAGAAGAGUCGUAAAUAAGUUGAGUAGGCCCGUUUUGUCAUAAAUAGACGAACGUUCCCGAACGUUAAAAGGCCGUGUUUGCAAUACGGGGUAUUUUAUUUUGAAAAGCAAAAAAGAGAGUUGUAAAUAAGUCGAGUAAUGUCGUUUUGUCAUAAAUAGCCGAAUGUUCCCGAAAGGGACGCCGGAAGGCUGACUUUGCAAAAACGAUCAUUUUGGUCAAUUUUGAUUUUUAACCAGUUAGCUAAUGCGGCCUUAAAAUCUUGGCGCCCGAGGUGCUGAAAGGUCGUGGUUGCAAAACUAGGUCUUUUAUUUUAAAUAUGAAAAACAAGAAAAAGAGCCGGUAGUCAAGUGAAUACCGUUCGGUUUUUCGUCAAAAUAAGCCGGCCCAGCCUCAAAAUUCAUGUAAAAUUGGGAAGGGGCCAUGUUUGCAAAAACAACCACUUGGUUGAAAUUGGCAAGUAGGGGAAGGAAUUUGUCAGUUUUUUUUUUAUCAUGAAAAUGAAAAAUUCAAAAAAUAUUUUAUUGUCGUUUAUCUUUUAUUUUUAUGAACUACUCCUAGACUGAUUCGUGCGGGGUCACGAUACGUAGGCAAUCUACAUAAGAUUCGACCACAGCCAAAACAAAAAAAUGAAAAAAAAAUUUAAAGAAAUGGGAAAGAUGUUGUGAGUAAUGAGGACCGACCCAAUCCAUUCUAACAUGUUCUGUUUUGAAUUGUGAAGAAAGUGGAGGCGGUUGGUUGUGGUAAGCUGGAAACACAAGAUCCAAGGAAAAUGAUAACCGACGUUGAAGCUGUUACGAGUGCUCAUAUGACUCAGUGUCAGAGGGUUCAACAAGGGUCUACUGUGGUCCAGGGACAGCCUUGUCAUGAGUCACAAUUUGCUACACAUGAAGAACAGUACCACUCUCCCGAGUACUACUCAUACUUGUUUGACUUUCCUGCAAAAAUCGAGAAGCCUGCCCGAAAGAGGGUACAGGAAGAAAUAGCCCAAAGAGUGAAAAGAUUAGAACAACAGUUGAAAAACACGCAAGCAACGGCAGGUCAAAAGAAUGUUGCCUUCAGAGAUCUAUGCAUGUUCCCCGAUGUCCACUUGCCGCCUGGUAUCAAGGUUCCCAAAUUUGAAAUGUACAAUGGACACAGAGACCACAUAGCCCACCUAAAAAGGUAUUGCAACCAAUUGAGAGGUGUGGAAAAAAUGAAGAUUUUUUUUAAUUUAACAUUAUAUUCAUUAAUAAUCAAAAUAUGUAGAAGAUGAAGUUUUAGUAGGAGCUUUGACUUGCUCCAACUCGUUUACAUCAUUCCUCUAUCCUGAGGUCCUAUUAUAAAGCACUACUUAUUCUCAGUAUUGGAAAUUCAUACAAAUAUAGCUUAGGGAAACUAUCUAUUUGCCUCAAGCCAAUCUUCCAUCGACUGCAUUUUAAGCCUCUGGUAUGAAUAAGAAGAGCAAUCUCUCUACAGAUAAGAGUCUCUUCAUACUUUUUCAAAUCAUAUCUGAUUCUAUUCCUUUCCCUCCAGAUAAUUGCAAUUGUAUUGAUUAAAACACAAGCUGUUAUAGUAUUAAGGGCCACUCUACUUUUUGCCUUAGUACAUACCCAUUGCAAUUCAGUUUCCCAGACGGGGUCAAUGGGCGAUCAAUUGCCUUAGUACUUACCUGGACGGGGUUAAUGGGCGAUCAAAAAAAAUGAAGAAUUGCUUAUAGCUUAUUUUGGGGAAAGCCUCACGGGAGUAGCAUCUGAAUGGUUUUUGGAUCAAGACAUAUCUUGCUGGUACGUCUGGGAUGACAUGGCACGGGCCUUUGUCAAACAGUUUCAGUACAACAUCGACAUCGCCCCAGAUCGCAUUUCCCUUUCUAACCUGAAAAAGAAACCAACUGAAAGUUUCAGGGAAUAUGCCAUCAAAUGGAGAGAGCAGGCAGGUAGAGCUAAGCCACCCAUGUAUGACCACGAGUUAAUCACUAUCUUUCUACAGGCUCAAGAGCCAGAUUAUUUCCAAUACAUGAAAACAUAGCCACAUUUGGUCAGGUUUUGUAGAGCUAAGCCACCCAUGGAUGACCACGAGUUAAUCACUAUCUUUCUACAGGCUCAAGAGCCAGAUUAUUUCCAAUACAUGACGUCCGCAAUGGAAAAUCCUUCCCGGAAGCAAUCAAAAUGGUAGAAAUGGUGGAGACCGGUCUUAAGACAGGUACAAUUAUAAGUCAAACAGCUCUCAAAGCUGCAGCCCAUGCUGUCCAAAUUGAAUCUGGUUACACGAAUGAGAGGGAUGAAGAAAUCAUGAUGAUAUCAGCGUUGAGAAGAGGUCCUGGGAGAACAUCUCGAAGGUAUGUGCAGCCUCAUCAGGUUUUCCAUGACCCCCCUAAGCAUUACUAUCCACCUCCGAACCCCCAUACUCUAUUGAUCCUUCCCAGUAUGUUACCCAACCAUCAAAUCACCCAAGAAAGCGAGCACGAGUGUCACAAAAUCUCCACCAACCUCCGCAAAAUUUUCAAUUACCUUAUAACCCACAUCCAAGCCAGGGGUAUGUAAGGGAACAAAAGUUGAAAGAUAGUUUUACACCAAUAGGAGGGUCCUAUGCAAGCUUAUUUGAGAAGUUAAAACAAUGAUUGCACCCAUUCCUCCAAAUCAGGUGGACCGAUGUGCGAGAAGCUUUGACUCAUCUAAAAGUUGUGAAUACCACUCCAAUGCCCUGGGGAACAAUGUGUAAAAUUGUCGGGAUUUGAAAAGGGAAAUAGAAAGGAUGAUCUAGGGAAAUUUAAUAUCACUCUAAUGCUCUGGGGCACAAUGUGGAGAAUUGUCGGGAUUUGAAAAUAGAAAUAGAAAGAAUGAUUCAAAAAGGGGUAAUUGUGGUUAACGACAGUGAUAGGGUGCAUGCAAAUCCUCUUGGGAACUUGUUGAUUGAAGUUGAUGAUAUCGAAGUUGGUAAUGAUCCUAGCAAUAUUGAUGCAGAACACAGUGGUUAAGAUAGCAAGCUUGGUAAUUGGAAAGACGCUUCAUCUCUUUGCUAGCUGGAGAGAAGUUUUGGUGGUUUAUAUUGUUUUCACUUCUGUAGUUCGGGUUAUUUUCAGAGUUGUAAUCCGGAUAUUGUCUUGUGAAUCAAACCCUUCUAUCCUUUCAUUUGUCUAGUUCCUUACGUUUUCAUAUCUCAUGUAGUGUUAUCUAGGUUUGUUUUAGGAUUGUAACCCAGUUUGUGUUGCUUGUUUUGUUGUUGAACCCUUUCAUCGUCUAUUUAAUACAAUUCUCUAUUUUUUGCCAUUUCUAGUCAUUUUUGUUUAGUUCUCUUUUUAUUUCUACAAUUCUUUUCCUGUCAGAUUUAGUGACAUGGCAUGCACGCAUAAUUCUCAGCUAUGUUGGUAGGGAAGCAAUGAAACCAUAAUGAGUGCAUUUGAGGAAAUAAGAAUAGACUUGGACAUUGUGAGAUUGUCUGACGCUUGAACCAUGUGAAAUCGGGACAAGUAAAACAUAAAAAUCCCUGCAAAAGCAAUUUGACAGGGGGUUAAUCGUGGUAAUAAGGGUAAGAGUGUGGUACAAUGGCACAUUAUAUCAGACAAAUGUAGAAACAAAUGUUGGAAAUGAUUGUCAAUUCCGAUGCAGUCAAGAGAUACUGUGUAUGGUUUCUGUAUUUUGAUUAUACCUGUUUGUACUUGGCAUAUUUUGUUGAAAUGACGAAGGCAUUUUGUUCUUGCUAUCCAAACACUUUUUUUCAUUGUCACCCCUUUUGAGUUGUGUUUAUUUUUUUGUACCCCUCUUUUGGAAUCAAGGGGACAAUCAAAUAAAUGCAAGUGCCAGAGAUAAGCAAAUGGAAAAUGAAAAAUGAAAAGGGAAGAAAGGAAAAUGAGAAAGAAAGAAAGAAAGAAAAAGGAAAAAAAGAAAAGAAAAGAAAAGAGAAGAGAAGAGAAGAAAGAAAAGAAAGAAAAAGAAAAAGAAAAAAAAGAAAGGAAAAAGCAAGAAAAACAGAAAGAAAAGAAGAGAAAGAAGAUCACAACAACGUAGUAUCUAUGACGUGAACUACGUUUGACUUGAUCCCGAAACGGUACGUAGGCAGCCUCUCUGAGGUUCAGUCAUACCAAAAUAAAAUUCCGAAAAGCCCCCAAGCAAGGAAGUGGGGCAGAAGUUGAGGUACGUAGCAACCUCUCUGAGGUUUAGUCAUACCAAAAUAAAAUUCCAAAAGUCCCCAAGCAAGAAACUGGGGCAGAGGUUGUGAUUGUUGAAAGAAAUCGGAUUCCGAAAGUUGUAGUUUUAACCCCAUUUUGAAUUGUUUUGAGCCUUUAUAUCCUUUCUUUCUAAUCCUAUCCAAAAGCCCACAUUACGGUCUAAAGAAAGACUUUCCGAUCAGUCUUUGAGGAAUUUCAAGCCAAGCAUAUAAGGGUAAUUCAUGUCAGGGGCAACACUCCAGUCCAAGCAAGAAAAAUAGAGAGCCGGAUUGAUGAAAACCUUCAGGGGUACCGCAAGGCGAUGAAAGUUGAGAAAAAUAAAAAUGAGAGUCUUAUCAGUGAAAACCUUCACGGGCACCUUAAGGCGACAGUAAGUGGAGAGAAAGAAAAUGAGAGAAGCUUGAUGGUGAAAACCCUUCGGGCACUACAAGUCGAAUAAGGAAUGUAAAUCACAUUGGAUAAGCAGAGCACCGAAGCCCAGUUUCACGGCGAAAAGGUGCAACAAGAGCUGAACAUCAGGUUUGAUUGACAAAAUAACUAUAGGUACAUGUCAUGGUCAUUAGAGUAGGUACCCUCAUCUGAUAGGUCUCUACUUUAUAGUUUUCUCCUUUAGUAAUCAUCUCUUUCCUUUUACCUUCACUUCGUUCCUCUAUUAUUAUUAAAUUCCUCUUUCUGAGUCUUUUUGGUCGUAACAAGUGAGAAAUGAAUUCAAAAUUUGCCACCAGCUUUCCAAUUGCACAAAAUGGGGUCACAAGCCACGAAAAACAACAAGAGCACUAAGCUGGUAAUAAUCAACACCAGUUUUUGGGGGAGCAGUUCUGGAAGAAGGUAAUUCAAGUUAGAAGGUAUAUAAAGCAAGUUUCGGAGGAAAAUCUUAGUCUGAUGAAUUUUUCACCUAAGAUAAAGAAAUCUUAGUCUGUUGAAUCUUUCACCUAAGAAAAAAAUCUUAGUCCGAUGAAUUUUUUACCUAAGAUAAAAAUCUUAGUCUCAUGAAUCUUUCUCCUAAGAUAAAGGUAGAAGUUGAAAAAGGGAAAGAAAAGCAUAAUUUGGGAAAAAGGAAAGGCAGAAGUUGGAAAAAGAAAAGAAGCCAUAAUUUGGAAAAAACAGGGGAAGGCAGAAGUCGUAAAAAGAAAGGAAGGCGUAAUUUGGGAACAAGAAAGGAAGGCAGAAUUUGAAAAGAAAGGAAGUUGGAAUUUGGAAAAUUAUUAAAUUCUGAAGUCGAAAAUGAACCUAGUCUGAUACAUUAUCUCCUUGAGUCAAAAUCUCAGUCCGAUGAAUCUUUCUCCUGAGAUCACAUAAAAAUAGACCUAGUCUGAUGAAUUGUCUAGUAGUGUCAGAAUCUUAGCUGUUGAAUCUUUCACCCAAGGUAAAAUCUUGGUCUGAUUAAUGUUUCACCUAAGAUCAAAGAAAAAGAAGAUGUUUCAUUGAAGUGGGCCAGUUUAACUUAACUCUUGGCAGCCCAAAAUCGUACCCGCCCCAAUUAGACCCAACCCAACCCAUUCCCAAUUGAUUAACAAACGCGAAAUUGAACAGGCAGAACCCUAAUUCCCUGUUCCUCUUCUCCAAGCGGUCCAAAACGUUCUGCCUCACCCGAUUUCGCCCCAAAAAUUGACCUCACACGCUCUUUUCUUCUCUCUUAUUUCCACAUAGGUGUAACGACCUCUGAGAACAACAAGAUUGCCUCCUCACUCUCCCGUUUUCAAGCUAUCUCAAGUGGAUUAGAAGGCUCUAGAAGAAGGGUGUUGGAUGAGUGAGAGGCGUCGGAUCGAUUUGAUUCAAUCCGAGCCUCACGUUCAUCACAUGCUCGUUUUCAAGAGAGCCUCAUCCGUUUUUCAUGAGGAGGGGGAAAGGAUCGAGAGUUUUGAUAUAAGGGACCAUUUCGAGUAAGUAGGGAGGAUUUUUUUUGGAGUCGAAAAGAUUGAAAAAAAAGUUUGAGAGUUCAUUCAGUUUUCUUGGAGUUUUUUUGGAAUUUAAUUUUGAUUAUGGAAGAAAAGGCUGAGAUAUUCCAUUUUCUCAAGGCUGAGAUAUUCCAUUUUCUCUUGGUUUCGGGUCCUGGUUCUGUUUCCGAAAAUCUAAAAAAAGAAGAAAUUUUCACUAUCUUUCUUUGAGUCCUUACAGAAAUAGAGAUGGAUUGAGUUUGUUCAAGUUUUCUUUUCUGUCCUGUUUGUUUCAUAAUUUUACUGGAGAUCAGUUUUGAUUAGCAUUUCGAUGCACUAGAGUUCUCUUUGAUUUCGAUCUUGUUUUCGGACGAACGAUGGCACUCGUCGAGAAGUGUGAGUCUGCUGCUGUCUGAGCUUCUGAUUUCAACUCAUUAGCUUCAAGGUCUCAUUUGUAUUCCAAGCUCGUACGAAGUUAAACGGGUUGUUUAUUGAUUCAGGUUUGAUUUUAAUCCCAUGUAGCCUAUCUUUGGCGUUUGAUUAUGAAAUGUGACUGUUUGGUUGUAAUGUGUUGGUUUUCCAUUUGCACGAGUAUGUCUGGUUUGACUCGGCUGUGUAUAUGUCACUGAUUUCUGAUUUUGCUGUGUAUUUAGAACUGUUGCGAUCCUCUAUUAAAUUCAGGUCGAACCGUCUUCAUGACUAGUUCAUUUCUUCAUAAGUUUCCUUUUGGUUAAGUUAGAAUUUAAAAAAAUAAACAUGAGUAAUUGUUUGCUGCUGUAGUUUGAAUUUUGAGAGACGGAUGAAACUAUCUUUGAGAUGCUGAGAAUUUGAAAGCCUCUUGUGGUUUGAAUUUUAAAUAUUGGAAAUCUUUUUCUGGCUUCUUCCUUUUAGUGUGGGUUCUGUUUGUAUUUGCUAGCAAUUUAGCUAAGAAUCAGUUCUGAUUCGUGUUGGCUUCACGCUAGAUUUAUUUGUUUCUUGAUGAUUCGAGUUUGAAACAAAUUAUUCUGUUGAUUGAACUAUUUGAGUUCCAUCCUGAUUUGUCUUAGCCUCAUUUUGGUUCAUCUUAGUUGAUCCAUUGUUUAAUGAAGUAAGUUGUAAAUCUUUGUGUCACGAUUUCAUUUAAACGACUGAAACUAUUGCUUUCAUUUGAAUAGCUGAAUCUAUUUGACGCUAUCUUCUAUGAUUUUCUGAUAUCACUUAAACGACUGAAACUGUUUGUUUUCAUUUAAAUAGCUGAAUCUAUACAGAGCUGUCAUCUCUGAUUUUCCUUCGUUCUCAAAUGAAAAGUUUCCUAGACGUUUUAUUGUUUGGUAAAAGAAUUACUGUUGAUUAUCCAUCUUUGUUGCAUAUUGAAUUGAAUACCAGUUAGGAUGUUCUUGCUUUAUUUACUGUUAAAAACAAUGAAAAACAGUACUGUAGCUACAUGCUUGUUUUAGUCGACUGUAUUUCAAAUCUUAUUUCAGUUUUUUCAUGGUUAUUAUGUUUGAUGUGGUGCAUCAGUCAAGCCAGUUCAUAUAUUGAAGAGUCGUGUCUAAUGUGAAUCUGAGUUAGCCGGGGUUUACUCCACAAAAAACCCACCCUGUUUUGCACUAUUCGAGUGUUAAUUUCGAGGGCUAAUAUGCAUAUGUUGAAGAGUCGUGUCUAAUGUGAAUCUGAGUUAGCCGGAGUUUACUCCACGGAAAACCUGCCCUAUUUUGCACUGUUCGAGUGUUAACUUCGAGGGCUAAUUCUGUCAGGCGUGGAUUAUUUUGAGCCAUGGGGUGUAAUGUGUCGUCAUUAAUUCACUAUUUCCGCAUAGUUAGGCCUACUAGUUCUUCUUCACCUCUCUUUAGGCCAUUUUUUAACUUCAAUUAGUUCUACCUCCAUGAUCAACUACUCCCUGUUAAGGAUGUGUUCAGUAGGUAGUUGAUCCAUGUCAUUCUAAGUUAGUUCGAUGUGUGUUGAUAUUUGAAGUGUUUGUGUGUCUUGUCUUAUGGUACUAUCGAGGUGAAGUCGUCAACUGGAUUUUCUCUAAAGGUGUCUCAAAAAUGAUAUCUUAGUUUGAUGCACUAGUUUUUACAAAACAAAAAACAAAACAAAAAAAAAAAGAAUUCUCUGAGAUCCAGAAGCUUAUUUUAGUGUGUGUUCUUCCAUCUCAAUGACUUCUGGAUUUUUGCUUGCUUCUGGGGUUAAGCUGGAGCUGUGUUACUGAUUUUGCAUUGCUUAACUCCUCUCACCUAGACAUUCUCCCUUACUUGGCUGGUGAUUCUUCUGUUUUUGGCUUGCAAACACAUUAAGUCCAUUAUAUAUGUGUUGGUUUUUUUGUGCGACUGUUGGAUUGAAUUAACCUUGAAAUAUGAUUAAUGAGUUUGUUUAAAUCUGAUUCUUUAUUUUGUCAGCUUAGUUUAGGUUGUGAUCAUUUUGUUGCCUUGUGUUAGUAGGUAAUUAAGACAAAAUUUUCAGUUGGGCAUUUGUCCAUUUUCGUGCUAGCACUAGGAGCUAUAAGUCAUAUUCUAAGUAUGUCUUUGUUUGCUUUGUUAUUUGUUAUCUCUUCUCUUUCUUUUGGCAUUUUUUUUCCUUUUCUGAAAGCCAUAUACCCAUUGUGUGGAUGUCUUAUAUUGAUGAAUAUGGGUUGUGGUUUGAGUUUAAAAGUAGAAUAAAUUCCUGAAUAUACGUAGUUUAUUUUAAUUGAGCAAAGCCCUUUUGGAAUAAUUGGAGGUGCGCCAUGCCAAACGUAAAAUAUUUCAAUUGUGUGGCCCUCAUUUGAAUUUUGUAUUGAUCCUUAGAAUCCGAGGCGUGCCAUAUAGCAAAUUUCAAGGCCCUCGCAAAGUACAAAAUGCGCUAGAAUCAUUAGGCGCGUUUUAAUUAAAUUAAUUUCCUAAAUUAGGGUUUGCAUUGAUGCGACCCAAAUUCAAAUCUCGACGAAGUCGAAAUGUGUUGACGACCACGGGUGCCUUGAUGGCGACGGGGUCAGAUACGCGUUUUCACGACGUAGCAAUUCUUAUAAAACAAAUGGCGGCCGAAAAAGGGUUCAAUAAAUUGAGACGAGCCUCACUGAACUAAAUAAAUGUGAGGUCCUCAACAAUUGUUUAUUAAAACGAUUAGAAUUUGGAAGGUGCGUUUAGCGAAUUUCAACAGCCUUUCCCAAACAAUUUUACGUUUGAAGUUCUAAGCGCGAUUUAAUUAAAUUACUUCCUUAAACUCAGGUGCGCAUUGAUGUGACCCAAUCCAAAUCUCGACGAAGUCGAAAUGUAUUAUGAAGACGAGUGCCUUGAUAGCUACGAGGUCAGA